UGGGGAAUAUUGGACAAUGGGCGCAAGCCUGAUCCAGCCAUGCCGCGUGAGUGACGAAGGUCUUCGGAUUGUAAAGCUCUUUUUGCCAGGGACGAUAAUGACGGUACCUGGAGAAUAAGCCCCGGCUAACUUCGUGCCAGCAGCCGCGGUAAUACGAAGGGGGCUAGCGUUGUUCGGAAUUACUGGGCGUAAAGCGCACGUAGGCGGAUUUGUUAGUCAGGGGUGAAAUCCCGGGGCUCAACCUCGGAACUGCCUUUGAUACUGCAAGUCUCGAGUCCGAUAGAGGUGAGUGGAAUUCCUAGUGUAGAGGUGAAAUUCGUAGAUAUUAGGAAGAACACCAGUGGCGAAGGCGGCUCACUGGAUCGGUACUGACGCUGAGGUGCGAAAGCGUGGGGAGCAAACAGGAUUAGAUACCCAUGUAGUCCCUGAGCGGGCUGGCAAGGCGCAU
This 448-nucleotide ribosomal RNA is filed under the name uncultured bacterium. RNAcentral's name for it is "bacterial SSU rRNA". It matches the Rfam family "Bacterial small subunit ribosomal RNA", at positions 355 to 825 of the family's 1533-position model. The record is from RNAcentral.